UAGGGAAUCUUCCACAAUGGACGCAAGUCUGAUGGAGCAACGCCGCGUGAGUGAAGAAGGUCUUCGGAUCGUAAAGCUCUGUUGUUGGUGAAGAAGGAUAGAGGCAGUAACUGGUCUUUAUUUGACGGUAAUCAACCAGAAAGUCACGGCUAACUACGUGCCAGCAGCCGCGGUAAUACGUAGGUGGCAAGCGUUGUCCGGAUUUAUUGGGCGUAAAGCGAGCGCAGGCGGAAUGAUAAGUCUGAUGUGAAAGCCCACGGCUCAACCGUGGAACUGCAUCGGAAACUGUCAUUCUUGAGUGCAGAAGAGGAGAGUGGAACUCCAUGUGUAGCGGUGGAAUGCGUAGAUAUAUGGAAGAACACCAGUGGCGAAGGCGGCUCUCUGGUCUGCAACUGACGCUGAGGCUCGAAAGCAUGGGUAGCGAACAGGAUUAGAUACCCUGGUAGUCCAUGCCGUAAACGAUGAGCGCUAGGUGUUGGGGACUUUCCGGUUCUCAGUGCCGCAGCAAACGCGUUAAGCGCUCCGCCUGGGGAGUACGACCGCAAGGUUGAAAC
RNAcentral lists this ribosomal RNA (554 nucleotides) under uncultured bacterium. Its description in RNAcentral is "partial 16S ribosomal RNA". It matches the Rfam family "Bacterial small subunit ribosomal RNA", at positions 355 to 900 of the family's 1533-position model. The record is from RNAcentral.